ACCGACCGACCCACCGACCAACCAACCAACCAACCAACCUCUUCCUCGUGUGUGUUCUCAAUCACCAGUACUCUCUCUCUUUCUUUCUACUAUAUUUCUCCUUCUUUUACUCUACUAACUAUCUUUAUCUCUUUUCUUUAUUCUAACUCCUCGCUGGUAACUUACACUCCGCAUAGGUGCGCGUGGUAUUCCUUGCUUUUCCUUCGUUACACCGUGAGCUUUCCUCCUUCUUUUCUUUAGACCGGUCUCUCUAUAUACAUUAUCUAUGCGUACGCGAAGGGUGCGAAAGAAGUGGGAAGCAAUAAAAAUGGGAGAAAGAAACUAAGAAAGGAAAGAAAGGGAGGAAGGAAGGAAGUUCCACGCGAGACUCUUCUGCGGUUAGAAAGUAUGAGAAUUUAAAUCCGUAAGAAUAAGAGAAAGAUGGCUGAACUAGCAACGAAUGAAAAA
Molecule: long non-coding RNA, 447 nt
Filed under: Polistes fuscatus (common paper wasp)
Lineage: Eukaryota; Metazoa; Arthropoda; Insecta; Hymenoptera; Vespidae
Description: uncharacterized LOC122522941
Source: RNAcentral